AUGGCGGUUAGGGUUUGGGUCUCCGCCAUCCUCCUCGCCUUCCUCCUCGCCGCCUCCCCCUUCGCCCAAGUUGCCAGAGCUCAGUCUGAGGAAGAUGCUGCUAUGCAAGAAGUUGUUGAUGGGGCUGAUCUAGGAUAUGUGGGUGAUGAUACUCCGGUUUCCAGUGAAGAGCCUUUAAGCCCUGCUCCUGGUGUGGAGACUGUUUGCGUCUUCCCCAAAAAUGCUGGGAAAAUUGUACCAGCGGGUGAAGAAACUGAGCUGUUGGUUGGCCUGCAAAAUGAGGGUGAAUCAACUUUGAAUGUUGUUGCUGUCCAUUCAACCCUACACCUUCCUUAUGAUCAUAAAAUGUAUGGACAAAACCUUACAGUUCAGAGUUUCUACAAUGCAUCAGUUCCUGUCUCUGUGCAAGCAACCUUUCCCUAUACAUUUGCCGUGAGCAAAUUCUUGCAGCCUGGAGCAUAUGAUCUUGUUGGUUACAUUGUGUACGAGAUUGAUCAGCACCCUUAUCAGAACGUCUUCUACAACGGCACCAUUGAGGUUGUUGAGGUCGGAGGGUUACUGAGUGUUGAAUCUGUGUUCCUUAUUACCCUUGGAAUUGCACUUCUUGGUCUCCUAGGAUUGUGGGCUUAUGGUCAAGUGCAACAGCUCUCGAAGAAAACAAAGAAAGGCCCCAAGGUGGAACUCGGAACUGGAACAACUGAUGCCAACAUGGACGAGUGGCUGGAGGGUACCGCGUUUGCAAAGGACAAAGCCAAGAAAAACAAAUAG
RNAcentral lists this ribosomal RNA (768 nucleotides) under Triticum aestivum (bread wheat). Its description in RNAcentral is "partial small subunit ribosomal RNA". Lineage: Eukaryota; Viridiplantae; Streptophyta; Magnoliopsida; Poales; Poaceae. The record is from RNAcentral.